This 426-nucleotide unclassified non-coding RNA is filed under the name Poa annua. Its description in RNAcentral is "contains 3' external transcribed spacer, ETS". The record is from RNAcentral. Lineage: Eukaryota; Viridiplantae; Streptophyta; Magnoliopsida; Poales; Poaceae.
CGAUUUUGUACGGCCGACUACUGGCGCCUUGUCCUGGCUGUUUUGUGGCUUCUGUUACUGUUACGUUUCAAGUGUGUGCAUGCUUGUACCUGAAUCACGGGUAGUGGUGCUUUAAAUUCGGUUGCCGCGCGGUGGACGCCUUUGGGUGUGCUGCUGCGGCCAAAUUGCGAUUGCGGCGUUUCCUUGUUUUUCCGGCAUGUUAACUCUGCCUGUGCUAACAAGCCAACCUCGCUUCGCUGUUGGUCUCGGAUGUUGCCUACGUUAAGAUCUCUUGGCCCAUUUCGGUUGCCUUGACUCACCCUAGGAAGCUCUCCGAAUUGAGAACAACCGGAACAGGUGUUGCCUCUACCUCUCCACGGUUAGUGGUAGGAUUACGCAACAUUCUGCGCCGAUCCUCAAACAAGUAGGAACGAGCUUAGCCCUCUA